RNAcentral lists this ribosomal RNA (315 nucleotides) under Triticum aestivum (bread wheat). RNAcentral's name for it is "partial small subunit ribosomal RNA". The record is from RNAcentral. Lineage: Eukaryota; Viridiplantae; Streptophyta; Magnoliopsida; Poales; Poaceae.
AUGAGCAAUGCAAACAGUAGUGCAGGUGGAAGAAUCAGUAUGUACCUAUCGUCGUCCGUCGGAGUGAUUUCCAGGGGCCGAUCGCCGGCGGCAUCGAAUCGCCUCCUUGCACCCCGUCCAUGUCCAGUCAAAGAGCGAGCACAGGGAGGCGAGAGAGACGGAAGUCCUAUUCACGGGUGGAGCAGUACACCUACGAAGUCAAUGGCUGUAACAUACAUCUGCCACGGUAAUAGGUACAGCAAAGCUGGAUUGCGUGACGGGUAUCUCGAGGUACAGCGCACAGAUUCAAACGCGGCCCCUGUGCAGAUGCUCUAA